Molecule: ribosomal RNA, 357 nt
Filed under: uncultured Pseudomonadaceae bacterium
Lineage: Bacteria; Pseudomonadati; Pseudomonadota; Gammaproteobacteria; Pseudomonadales; Pseudomonadaceae
Description: bacterial SSU rRNA
Rfam family: Bacterial small subunit ribosomal RNA
Source: RNAcentral
CUGGAGACAGGUGCUGCAUGGCUGUCGUCAGCUCGUGUCGUGAGAUGUUGGGUUAAGUCCCGCAACGAGCGCAACCCUUGUCCUUAGUUACCAGCACGUUAUGGUGGGCACUCUAAGGAGACUGCCGGUGACAAGCCGGAGGAAGGUGGGGAGUGACGUCAAGUCAUCAUGGCCCUUACGGCCUGGGCUACACACGUGCUACAAUGGUCGGUACAAAGGGUUGCCAAGCCGCGAGGUGGAGCUAAUCCCAUAAAACCGAAUCGUAGUCCGGAUCGCAGUCUGCAACUCGACUGCGUGAAGUCGGAAUCGCUAGUAAUCGUGAAUCAGAAUGUCACGGUGAAUACGUUCCCGGGCCUU